This 253-nucleotide ribosomal RNA is filed under the name uncultured bacterium. RNAcentral's name for it is "partial 16S ribosomal RNA". It matches the Rfam family "Bacterial small subunit ribosomal RNA", at positions 524 to 776 of the family's 1533-position model. The record is from RNAcentral.
UACGUAGGGUGCAAGCGUUGCCCGGAUUUAUUGGGCGUAAAGGGCGCGUAGGCGGCUCGGCACGUCCGUUGUGAAAUCGCCCGGCUCAACUGGGCGGGGUCAGCGGAUACGGUCGAGCUUGAGCAAGCUAGGGGGCAAUGGAAUUCCAGGUGUAGCGGUGAAAUGCGUAGAUAUCAGGAGGAAUACCGAUGGCGAAGGCAGGUCUCUGGGCUGACACUGACGCUCAUGCACGAAAGCGUGGGGAGCAAACAGG